CCCCAACAUUUUUUAAAGCUCUCCAGGCUUUUUUUUUCUUCAGGUACUGCACAAAAAUCCUCAUCAAAACUGAGUUAAAAACAGCAACUCUUUGCCCUCAUAUUUCUGUCAGCUGCUCACCUGGGAGUGACUCUGGUCUCGCCUGCAAGCACUCAUCUGUUCAAGUCAUCUGUCAUGGGACAGCUUACCUGAGGCCAAACGUCUAAGAAGAUAGCAAAACAAGACAGAAAAACAACUCCGAAUGGCAGUUUUUGAACAAUUCACUGGAAGUUGUGGAACAGAAGGUAGUGAAUUUGGAUUAAUCAGCUGGCUGAGCACAGCUUUCCAAGUGCUUUCUGUGGCCAAGGAAGAAGAAAACCCCGUGGGAUGUCA
This 372-nucleotide long non-coding RNA is filed under the name Heterocephalus glaber (naked mole-rat). RNAcentral's name for it is "lncRNA (ENSHGLG00100048961.1)". Lineage: Eukaryota; Metazoa; Chordata; Mammalia; Rodentia; Bathyergidae. The record is from RNAcentral.